Molecule: ribosomal RNA, 459 nt
Filed under: Hemiselmis andersenii
Lineage: Eukaryota; Cryptophyceae; Cryptomonadales; Hemiselmidaceae
Description: partial Bacterial small subunit ribosomal RNA
Rfam family: Bacterial small subunit ribosomal RNA
Source: RNAcentral
UAUAGAAUUUCAGGAGAAAAAAUAAAAUUUGUAGAUAUCUGAAGGAAUGCCAAAGGCGAAAGCAAUAAUCACUACUUUACUGACGUUGACACACGAAAGUAUAGGUAUCAAACAGGAUUAGAUACCCUGGUAGUCUAUACUGUAAACUAUAAAUAUUCGUUUUGAAAUUAAAAAAAUUUUGAAACCAAACUAACGUGUUAAAUAUUUUGCCUGAGAAGUACACCGGCAACGUUGAAACUCAAAGGAAUUGACGGGGAUUUAUAACAUUGGUGGACUAUGUGGUUUAAUUCGUCAAUACACGCAAAACCUUACCAAUUCUUGAAUAAUUAUAAAAUUAAAGCAAAAUGUUAAUUUUAAUAUAAUUACAGGUGCUGCAUGGUUGUCGUCAGUUCGUAUUGUGAAAUGUCUGGUUUAUUCCUGUAACGAGCGAAACCCUAUUUCUUUAUUACAAAUUUGUGA